AUACGGAGGGGGCUAGCGUUGUUCGGAAUUACUGGGCGUAAAGCGCGUGUAGGCGGUUCGGCAAGUCGGGUGUGAAAGCCCAGGGCUCAACCCGGGAACUGCGCUUAAUACUGGUGAACUUGAGUCCGGGAGAGGGUGGCGGAAUUCCCAGUGUAGAGGUGAAAUUCGUAGAUAUUGGGAAGAACACCAGUGGCGAAGGCGGCCACCUGGCCCGGUACUGACGCUGAGGUGCGAAAGCGUGGGGAGCAAACAGGAUUAGAAACCCCAGUAGUCC
This 274-nucleotide ribosomal RNA is filed under the name uncultured bacterium. RNAcentral's name for it is "partial 16S ribosomal RNA". It matches the Rfam family "Bacterial small subunit ribosomal RNA", at positions 523 to 796 of the family's 1533-position model. The record is from RNAcentral.